Molecule: non-coding RNA, 26 nt
Filed under: Homo sapiens (human)
Lineage: Eukaryota; Metazoa; Chordata; Mammalia; Primates; Hominidae
Source: RNAcentral
GGUGUGAGUGACCCGAUUUUCCAGGU